RNAcentral lists this ribosomal RNA (430 nucleotides) under Verrucomicrobiota bacterium. RNAcentral describes it as "Verrucomicrobia bacterium partial 16S ribosomal RNA". It matches the Rfam family "Bacterial small subunit ribosomal RNA", at positions 355 to 776 of the family's 1533-position model. The record is from RNAcentral. Lineage: Bacteria; Pseudomonadati; Verrucomicrobiota.
UAGGGAAUCUUCGGCAAUGGGGGGAACCCUGACCGAGCAACGCCGCGUGAGUGAAGAAGGUUUUCGGAUCGUAAAGCUCUGUUGUUAAGGAAGAACGAGUGUGAGAAUGGAAAGUUCAUGCUGUGACGGUACUUAACCAGAAAGGGACGGCUAACUACGUGCCAGCAGCCGCGGUAAUACGUAGGUGGCAAGCGUUGUCCGGAAUUAUUGGGCGUAAAGCGCGCGCAGGUGGUUUAGAAAGUCUGAUGUGAAAGCCCACGGCUCAACCGUGGAGGGUCAUUGGAAACUAAUAAACUUGAGUGCAGGAGAGGAAAGUGGAAUUCCUAGUGUAGCGGUGAAAUGCGUAGAGAUUAGGAGGAACACCGGUGGCGAAAGCGGCUUUUUGGCCUGCAACUGACACUGAGGCGCGAAAGCAUGGGGAGCAAACAGG